GUCACUUCUCUGUCUUUUGGCUAAGACCAAGUGUAGCACCUGUUCUUAUCAGUUUAAUAUCUGAUAUGUCCUCUUUAUGAGGACUACAUAUUAAAUAGACUUUUAGAACAGGGAGACAGAGGGGAGCUUGCUUCGUGCUCUCCAGGCAUCGACCUGGUUUUGCAGCACCUCUGGUGUACCUCCU
Pygocentrus nattereri (red-bellied piranha) is the source of this 184-nucleotide small nuclear RNA. Its record names the gene U2. It matches the Rfam family "U2 spliceosomal RNA". From Rfam's summary of the family: U2 is a small nuclear RNA (snRNA) component of the spliceosome (involved in pre-mRNA splicing). Complementary binding between U2 snRNA (in an area lying towards the 5' end but 3' to hairpin I) and the branchpoint sequence (BPS) of the intron results the bulging out of an unpaired adenosine, on the BPS, which initiates a nucleophilic attack at the intronic 5' splice site, thus starting the first of two transesterification reactions that mediate splicing. NCBI's taxonomy places the organism in Eukaryota, Metazoa, Chordata, Actinopteri, Characiformes, Serrasalmidae. The record is from Ensembl.